UACGGUAAGAGCGAAAGCGGGAGGAAGCUCUGUGCCCGGAGGGGACCCGCCGCCAUCUCAGGUCUCUCGGCUUUGCCAGGGCCAACUGGAGAAAGCUGACGCCCCGGGUCCAGUAAUCCUUAUGGGGGACCAACCUUGUGCCUCCGGGAGGUCCACACUCCCACCUGGAAAUACGCGGGAAGCCAAGCCUCCAAAAAAGCGCUGUCUCCUAGCUCCGCGCUGGGAUUAUCCGGAAGGAACUCCAAACGGAGGUAGUACCACUCUCCCCUCCGCACCUCCUCCUGCAUCAGCCGGCCUGAAGUCGCAUCCUCCUCCUCCGGAGAAGUAGGGGAAUAUAUUUCUGCCACCCCAAACCAGUGCAAGACCACUAACAAGAAUGUAUUGAAAGCCUAAUAAUGUCUAUGCCCAGCACUGUGCUAACAGAAGGGAUUGUAAGGUAUUCAGGAAGCAUGGAGGAUGGACCAAGUCACUGCCUGGUAGUAAUCAUGAGCCAUCAAAAGAGGAAGGGGGAACUUUGGGUGGGCCUUAAAGGUCUAAAGGGAUUGCAUUAUGACUCCAUUUCCUUGGUGCAUUCGUAAAAUAGUUCACCCAGUGAAGACAGUGAAGAUUAUUUACAAUGCUACCCUGCUUUUUCUGAUGUUCUGCACCUGGAAGUUGUGAAAUUUAAGAGACAUGUAACUAACUGCCUGCUGACCCUUUCUCUGUGGAUGCCUUAUCAGCACUGCAAACUGAACACAGCCAAAACUGGAAUCUUUGAAUCAUCACCAGCAACACCACAAACCUGUUUUUAUUCUUUAUUAUGAUGUAAUCAGCGUGAAUUUACCUCCUGAAUUUGGAUGAAUUCUAGGACAUGGGCAAGAUCAGCUUGUAGACUUCUAAGACCGAAGGUCAUGGCCUGAAUCAUGAUGAACUCACUAAAACAAAUAUUGCCCAUGAGAUGGUCCUGCACGCAGCCAACCAGUGCUCUCUGUUGGUGAUAUUCUAAUCCUUGCUGUAUAACUUUAAAUUGCCAUAAAUUCAUUAAGGUCCCAAUAAAUUUUGUCUCUCAUUGUUGUGUUAAA
Oryctolagus cuniculus (rabbit) is the source of this 1061-nucleotide non-coding RNA. Lineage: Eukaryota; Metazoa; Chordata; Mammalia; Lagomorpha; Leporidae. The record is from RefSeq and is a predicted model, not a curated record.